RNAcentral lists this ribosomal RNA (443 nucleotides) under uncultured bacterium. Its description in RNAcentral is "partial 16S ribosomal RNA". It matches the Rfam family "Bacterial small subunit ribosomal RNA", at positions 338 to 795 of the family's 1533-position model. The record is from RNAcentral.
CCUACGGGUGGCAGCAGUGGGGAAUAUUGGGCAAUGGGCGCAAGCCUGACCCAGCAACGCCGCGUGAAGGAAGAAGGCCCUCGGGUUGUAAACCUUUUUUAUUCGGGACGAAACAAAUGACAGUACUGAAUGAUUACGUCACGGCUAACUACGUGCCAGCAGCCGCGGCAAUACGUAGGUGGCAAGCGUUAUCCGGAUUUACUGGGUGUAAAGGGUGUGUAGGCGGGAGAGCAAGUCAGAUGUGAAAUUCCAGGGCUCAACCCUGGAACUGCGUUUGAAACUGGUAUUCUUGAGUAAUGGUGAGGCAGGCGGAAUUCGGGGUGUAGCGGUGAAAUGCGUAGAUAUACGGAAGAACACCAGUGGCGAAGGCAGCCUGCUGAACAUUGACUGACGCUGAGGCGCGAAAGCGUGGGGAGCAAACAGGAUUAGAUACCCGAGUAGUC